ACUUUAUUAAACCAGAGCUACAGAUAACUUUUUUGGGUCAUUGAGUUAUGUACUCGCUUGUGUUGAUCUCAAUGGGGUAUCCUACUUUUCUUUUGAGUAUGCAAAUACAUUGUACUCACCUCACUCAAACUCAAUUGGGUAUUUUGCCAUUUUCCAUUAAUUUU
Molecule: long non-coding RNA, 164 nt
Organism: Haliotis rubra (blacklip abalone)
Lineage: Eukaryota; Metazoa; Mollusca; Gastropoda; Lepetellida; Haliotidae
Exons: 3
Source: RefSeq, a predicted model, not a curated record